RNAcentral lists this ribosomal RNA (458 nucleotides) under uncultured Anaerovibrio sp. RNAcentral's name for it is "partial 16S ribosomal RNA". It matches the Rfam family "Bacterial small subunit ribosomal RNA", at positions 341 to 792 of the family's 1533-position model. The record is from RNAcentral. Lineage: Bacteria; Bacillati; Bacillota; Negativicutes; Selenomonadales; Selenomonadaceae.
ACGGGAGGCAGCAGUGGGGAAUCUUCCGCAAUGGGCGCAAGCCUGACGGAGCAACGCCGCGUGAGUGAAGAAGGUCUUCGGAUCGUAAAGCUCUGUUGAGAGGGACGAGAGAUAAUGUCAGGCAAUGGGCAUUAGAGGACGGUACCUUUAGAGGAAGCCACGGCUAACUACGUGCCAGCAGCCGCGGUAAUACGUAGGUGGCGAGCGUUGUCCGGAAUUAUUGGUCGUAAAGGGAGCGCAGGUGGGAUUGCCAGUCAGUCUUAAAAUUGCGGGGCUCAACCCCGUGAUGUGAUUGAAACUGCAGUUCUUGAGUGCAGUAGAGGAAAGCGGAAUUCCUAGGGUAGUGGUGAAAUGCGUAGAUAUUAGGAAGAACACCAGUGGCGAAGGCGGCUUUCUGGACUGUAACUGACACUGAGGCUCGAAAGCGUGGGGAGCGAACAGGAUUAGAUACCCUGGUA